RNAcentral lists this ribosomal RNA (489 nucleotides) under uncultured bacterium. RNAcentral's name for it is "partial 16S ribosomal RNA". It matches the Rfam family "Bacterial small subunit ribosomal RNA", at positions 30 to 507 of the family's 1533-position model. The record is from RNAcentral.
UUGAACGCUGGCGGCAGGCCUAACACAUGCAAGUCGAACGGUAACAGGGAUCAGCUUGCUGCUUCGCUGACGAGUGGCGGACGGGUGAGUAAUGUCUGGGAAACUGCCUGAUGGAGGGGGAUAACUACUGGAAACGGUAGCUAAUACCGCAUAACGUCGCAAGACCAAAGAGGGGGACCUUCGGGCCUCUUGCCAUCGGAUGUGCCCAGAUGGGAUUAGCUAGUAGGUGGGGUAACGGCUCACCUAGGCGACGAUCCCUAGCUGGUCUGAGAGGAUGACCGGCCACACCGGAACUGAGACACGGUCCAGACUCCUACGGGAGGCAGCAGUGGGGAAUAUUGCACAAUGGGCGCAAGCCUGAUGCAGCCAUGCCGCGUGUAUGAAGAAGGCCUUCGGGUUGUAAAGUACUUUCAGCGGGGAGGAAGGGAGUAAAGUUAAUACCUUUGCUCAUUGACGUUACCCGCAGAAGAAGCACCGGCUAACUCCGUG